GCGCGAGUGGUGGAAUUGGUAGACUCGCUAGAUUCAGGUUCUAGUGACCAAUACGGUCGUGUGCGUUCAAGUCGCAUCUCGCGCACCA
This 88-nucleotide transfer RNA is filed under the name Oscillospiraceae bacterium. RNAcentral describes it as "tRNA-Leu". Lineage: Bacteria; Bacillati; Bacillota; Clostridia; Eubacteriales; Oscillospiraceae. The record is from RNAcentral.